Molecule: long non-coding RNA, 5603 nt
Organism: Alexandromys fortis (reed vole)
Lineage: Eukaryota; Metazoa; Chordata; Mammalia; Rodentia; Cricetidae
Exons: 3
Source: RefSeq, a predicted model, not a curated record
CUCUUGGGACAUUACUUUCCAGUUUCCACACUCUGCGGCAGGAAUCCAGCUGCUGGGCCGGGACAGGAAGCAGUCUAUGGAAGUCAUUGCAAUGGCAUUUCCUGAAGAGCACGAGAAAAAGCUCCAGUUCCGAGGGGAGCUCUGCUUUCUAUCCAGAGAACUCCGAAGCUUAAAGCCAGAGUAGGCCUGGCCUGAGACUCACUGGGGAUAAAAGUAAGCAGCACAAGGUCCCAAAGGUGGCUUCUCUCUAUGAAAACAGAGACUGAAGGAGCCCAAGCAUCAUGGCAGUACCAUCUGGAUGACUGUGGCCAUUCUGAGCACUUUAGGCCAACAACUGCCUUUCUUAACCUUCCAACAAGUCCAGGGCACAUAGCAGGUGACUAGUGAAGCCACUACAUCUCUGGGCCUGCCUGCUCCUGUGACAAGGAGACGGCACUAUCCCGAUCACCAAUCUGCAUGGCUAAAGGUAUCACAAAGACAAGUCCUCAUUUUAUCUAGAUUCUCCAAACAGUAAAAACAACAUGGCUUCCAAUGUGGCUAGCUGCACCAGCCAAUACACCGUGCGCAAAGCUGGUCUCCUCUUGAGUCUCCUCUCAUGAUCUCUACAGCCAUUUAAAGCUAAGAAGUCUUUCCACCCGCCAGUGGCACCAGCUUCUUCUCAAAGUGAACACCUGCUUCUACCCUUACAGAACUCUGAUCAUCACUUCCCUGCUCUAAACCUACUCUUGACGUCUCUUAUUCCAGACCAAAGCCUCAAACUGCCUUGUAAUGUUCUAUGUGCUCAGCAGCCAGCCCCCACCUCCCCUCAGUUUUCAUCUCCUUGAUAGAGGGCAAAAACAAAAUAAAACAAAAAAAUCUCUCUGUUCCCUGCUGCUUAAGCCAAUCUGACCUCUGCCAUUCCUGAAAAUGCCGAGCAUCUCUCCUCCUCAGUACACUCUUCUGCUUGAAAAGCUCACUAUAUGAGCCAGCUAGGCGGUGGUGCCUCAUGCCUUUAAUCCCAACACUCAGGAGAUAGAGGCAGGCGGAUCUCUGUGAGUUCGAUGCCAGUCUGGUCUACAAGAGCUAGUUCCAGGACAGGCUCCAAAGCUACAGAGAAACCCUGUCUCAAAACAAACAAACACCCUUGCUAUAUGGACCCACAUAGUGAGCCAUCUCCUAUCCUUCAGAUCUUCUCAAAUACCACCUCCAGGUAACAUCCUUUGUUGGAGAUCUAGAAACAGUAUUCCAAGAACAUGCCUGUGGGAGACCAGAACGUGUGUGUGUGUGUGUGUGUGUGUGUGUGUGUGUGUGUGUAUUUGGCAUACUUGAAGCUGCUUAGUCAAAGAAAUCCACACUCAGAGACACACAGGAGUAACCUUGAAAUGCUGUUUUCUAUAAAAGAAGCAUCUAUAAAGAAACUUAUAAAAGUAUUUGUAGGCCGGGCGGUGAUGGCGCGUGCUUUUUUAAAAAAAAAAAAAAAAAAAGUGCUUUUAAUCCCAGCACUGGGAGGCAGAGGCAGGCAGAUCUUUGUGAGUUCAAGGCCAGCCUGGUCUACAAGAGCUAGUUCCAGGACUGGCUCUAAAGCUACAGAGAAACCCUGUCUCAAAAAAAAUUAAAAAAAAAGUAUUUGUAUCAGUUGUUGGUCUGUUCUACAGAUCCUAUUACCUGAGAUGCUUUAUCUGAACAGCAAAAUAUUUACUCUUGAUAAUUUGCAGUCAAGCCUCUUAAAAUGUGGAUGGUCACCAUAAUAAUCCCAAAGCCCUAUUCCUCCCUUCCAUUUAUUUAUUUAUUGACUUAUUGGUUUGAGACAGGGUCUCACCAUGUCACCCUAUUGGCCUCAAACUCGAAGAUCUGCCCAUCUCUGCCUCCUGGGUGCUGGGAUUAAAGGCGUGUGCAACCACACUCGGCCUCCUGUUCCUUUCUGUAGUUCAGGACGCUAAACCUCAAUCAUGCAUCUAACCAUUACUUGACAUUGGUUCCUGUGCACACAUGGGUUAUCAAAAUAUUUGUUUUUUUUCUCCUCUUAAUUUGUCUUAUGUCAAGAUAAUUCAUAUUCUAGCCAAAGAAACGACAGAUGAGGGCUGAGCUUUUUUCAUUUUCCUACAUCUUGGCUGUUCAUUUUUUUGAUCACUUUUUAUUUUAUUUCUUUAAUAUUUAUUUAUUUAUCUAUUUAUUAUGUAUACAAUAUUCUGUCUGUGUGUAUGUCUGCAGACCAGAAGAGGGCACCAGACCUCAUUACAGAUGGUUGUGAGCCACCAUGUGGUUGCCGGGAAUUGAACUCAGGACCUCUGGAAGAGCAGACAAUGCUCUUAACCACUGAGCCAUCUCUCCAGCCCUUUUGAUCACUCUUUAAAUUUAAUUUAUUUACUCAUUUAUUUACUGGGGGAGAAGUACACCAUAGACAUAUACAGAGGUCAGAAUACAACCUGCAGAAGAUAGUUCUUCCCUUCCACCAAGUGGGAAUCAGGGAUCUAACUCAGGACAUCAGGCUUGACAGCAUGUACCUUUAUAAGCUAAACCACCUUGCCAGGCCCUUUGAUCAACCUUUUUAAAGUGCCAUCCCAUCCUGCCUUGCUAGGCAUUCUCUAUAAACCAAUCUUAUUUUCUUCAAAGUACCUACUAUCAGCUGAUGCAUAACACACACACAAAUACUGGAAACUAAACUUGGGUCUUCUGUUUUAAGAGUUCUUAAAACACUGAGCCAUUUCUCCAGUCCCCAGACCAUAUAAUAUCAUGGAACUGCUGUGGUAUACACCGUCCAUCAUUGACAAAAAUGUCGCUAUACAAUUAUGUGUAUGUAUGUGUGUAUUCACUUUAGCUUGCAUACAUAUGCACAUACAUAUGGAGGUCAGAGGCUAACCCUGGAUAUUGUUCCUCAGGAGCUAUCUACCUCAUUGGCCUGGAACUCAUUCGUCAGACAAGGGUGGCAGGCCAGCAGGCUCCAGAAAUCCCCUUGUCUCUGCCUUACAGCUUUGGGAUUGAGUGCACACCACUGUGCUUGGCAUUUUCUUUUUCUUUUCUUUCUUUCUUUUUUUCUUUUUAAAAAAAAAUGGAUUUUGGUGAUCAAACUCUGAUUCUUUUUGUUGUUGUUUUCCAAGAUAGAGUUUUUCUGUAAACAGCUCUGGCCAGGCUGGCCUUGAACUCACAAAGAUCCCCCUGCCUCUGCCUCCCAAGCCCCGGGAUUAAAGGUAUGUGCCAAAUUCAGAUUCUUAUGCUAGCAUAGCAAAGCAUUUUAAGACUGAGCCCAGUCUUAAAAUCUAGAAAUGUAGAUUUGUCUGUCUAACAGAAUGAGCCUCAAUAGAGGCAAAAACUUAGUUUUGUUUUUUUCUCAGUACCUAGCAGAGUGUGGGGGGGGGCUCAAUAAUGGUAGAAGAGGUUCCCCCCAUUAUUACUCUGACUUGAUUAGGUCCUUUCUUCAGAUACUCAAUAUCUCUUUCAGAGGUGACUACUGCGCUCAAGAUUAGUGCUCUGGGCUGAGAUGACCAAUGUAAGCAAGAUUUGGACUCUGAGAGUACAGCUGUUAUAAAUGCCUGCACCAAUUUAAACUACCAGUUCCUUCUUUUCCCUUAUGCAAAGGGCUGGGGAUCAUAUAUAAAUGGAGAAGAAUGCAUGCCCAGAAAUGGCUCUGCCAUAACCGGCUCUUCUACACACAUUCUCUCUUUGCUCAUCAAGCAGAAGUGGCAAGUUACCAGGUAUGCUGCCCAACAGGCUCUGGAGACUCUUGAGUGAAGAGACGGGGGUGGGUGGGAUUUUAAUCAAUGAGAGCUAAUGAACCUGCCCCAAGCUGCUGCCUUAGAUGGGUUUAGCAUUUUUCCAGGUGACUGGAACAUUACAUGCAAUAUGGGGCAGCUGGCAAUUCUCAGGUUCCAGUAGCCUCUGCAGAGGUUGGCUGCCCUAGCAGGUACCUCUUCCAUCUGCCUACCGUUUACAGCUGGCAAGAGCCUACCUGGUAUUAGGACCACUAAAGACAGUUAGCAAGUGAUAGAGUCAAGAGCCCAGGUUUACUUGGAGGUGCUUCAGAGGGUGUGUCUGAAGGGUUGGAAUCCUGCCCCUCCUGUAAUCAGCUGAACAAAUAUUUGCCCCCAAAGAGAAUCAAAGCAAGAGAGAAUGAAUAGAAGAGGUCACUGCACAAACCAACAGGAACUAUUUAAUCAUUUAUCUCCCCAGGGAGUUCAUUUACAGACUGGCUUUCGAGUCUGGCAAUCCUUAGCUCAAGGGAGCCCACCUUUACCUCAGUCAACUCUACCCUGCUCAUCUGACCUCUACUGACGACAAGUGACCUCUUUGCCUUUACAAGAGCUACUGGAGGGGAAGAGUGGGGGUGAAGUUUCAAAGAAAUGGGAAACUAGAGACAGGAUGGGGUUUCAGGGCAAACCCAGAAGGUCUCUUGCUCAGUGGUAAAAGCGAAGUGCUUGCCCCGCCCUAGGCCCAGCCUAUGGGCAACUGAAUUCUUGACAUUCCCGAGUCCAUGGUGCGUGGCCCCUUCCACCUCACUUCCUUCAAUGGAUGGCUUGCUUAUUUUCCACAGCUUGUCCAUUUUUGACAUAUUCUGAGGGAUCAGAAUACUUCUCAUAAGCCCCGAGCUCCCCUAUUCGGGAAUGGAGUCACGAUGAAGGUGAAGACUGCCUACUACAGUGGCUACUGGUAAGGAAGCUCUCACCUCCACACCACCUCAUUAGGUGGGAGCAGAAGGAUUCUUUGGAGUAGGCACUCACUGGCGUGAGCCUCUGCUCACAUUAUCUCUAAGAGUCACAAAACUCUGUUAAGCAAGGAGAGCUUGCCACAUUUUUUGUGUGUUAGAAACUAAGGCUCCAGAAGGUAAACCAACCAGUCCAAGGUCACAUGGCUAGUUAAGUGACAGGGCCAGGACGCACACCCACAUCCAGUCUGUCACCAAAUCUUAAUUUCCUAUGGAGCCUCACAGACCCGGUUUGUGCUCUGCCAGCAAACAGCGUUCCAGUAAAGAGGCCCGACGGCCCUGACCAGAAAAGCAAUAGAAAGAGCAGCUGGAGAUCCCCAACCGACCCUGGGCAGUGAGGUGCAAAGUCCUGGGGCUCACUAUAUGACACAGCAAGAGCGCCCAAACAAGCCAGCCACGCAGAAAGCUGCGUACUUUGGGGAAAUGAACUUAGGGGCACAGAACAAACACAGCUGGCACAGACCACCCUUCUCCAAAAUCAAAUAAUCCUCAGUCACCCAAGUCAGUGGGGGCUCCUGCCUGGGCAAGUGGUCUAAGUACCAUGCACGCAGGUAUACAGGGACCUGAGGGUACCAGCUCUUCCGGUUCCCCAGGUAUUGUGUUCCUCACUCCCAGCCAAGGUGACCCAUUCUGCGAGAGCCAGCAGAAGGCAGGGAGAACUUGCCACUCUCACAGGUUUUCAGCUAAGUAAACACAGGCUAUGUUUUUCUUUGCUGAGAAACUGGAACAAACUAUGAAACUCUGGGGCCACAAGCAUAGCCAGAAGGAAAGAUGCAGAUCUCUCGAAGUUAACCUCUUGUGUUGAAACAGAGCCAGGCAGCUUUCCUGAACAAUCAACAUCCUCAACAACCAUGCCAUGCAACAGAAAAGGGACCAACAAGAACAUUUGGGGCUCUCCAAAGAAGAGACAGACAAGGGGCGUGGU